CCCUUAGACGUUCUGGGCCGCACGCGCGCUACACUGACACAGGCAACGAGCUUUCCUUUACCGAAAGGUAUGGGUAAUCUUUUGAAACUGUGUCGUGCUGGGGAUAGAUCCUUGCAAUUUUUGAUCUUAAACGAGGAAUUCCUAGUAAGCGCGAGUCAUCAACUCGCGUUGAUUACGUCCCUGUCCUUUGUACACACCGCCCGUCGCUACUACCGAUUGAAUGGCUUAGUGAGGCCUCAGGAUCCGCGCUUAAUGUGUGGAGAAUUUGGACAAACUACGUCAUUUAGAGGAAGUAAAAGUCGUAACA
RNAcentral lists this ribosomal RNA (307 nucleotides) under uncultured eukaryote. RNAcentral's name for it is "partial 18S ribosomal RNA". It matches the Rfam family "Eukaryotic small subunit ribosomal RNA", at positions 1470 to 1796 of the family's 1831-position model. The record is from RNAcentral.